Molecule: unclassified non-coding RNA, 240 nt
Filed under: soil metagenome
Description: partial contains 5.8S ribosomal RNA, internal transcribed spacer 2, and large subunit ribosomal RNA
Source: RNAcentral
AACGGUCUAUACCUGCGGUACCUGCGGAGGGAUCAUUAAUGAGAAACUGCCCCUCGCGGGUAGAUCUCCCACCCUUUGUAAACUUACCUUUGUUGCUUUGGCAGGCCCGUCUCCGGACCGCCGGCUUCAGCUGGCCAGUGCCUGCCAGAGGAUUCUAAAACUCUGUCUGUCAGUGUUGUCUGAGUCUAUAUACAAUCGUUAAAACUUUUAACAAUGGAUCUCUAGAUCGGAAGAGCACAC